GUGAUUCUGUCGAGACGGGCUGAUCCGCCUUUAAAGUUGGAUUGCAGCGUUAAAACUUUGCAGAUGUUGACAUCGUCACAGUGUCAAACCCUUUCAUCCUCUUCAGGCAAUUUCAAAAUAAAGCUUCUAGCAGUCAAAUCCUCGCACCCAACCUCCCCUCGUCAUGUCUCCUAAUUAGUCUCUCCUCUAAACACCACAGACUCUAAUUCAAGCUCCGAAAGGUUUCCUCAGUGCCUGUUACCCGUCGUACAGCUUCCGGGUUCAUGUCCGCUGUCUCCGCCCACCAGAGUGACGUCACCAUCCCCCGGGGCAACGUGACUCCUGUAUGUCCAGCGUCCUCCACUACCGUGUCCUUUUCCGUCCAGGAGCAUCCAUGUGCCCUGACUUCUGUAGCCACACACGGGCAGUAUUUUUGAAUGCAGGGAUAUAAGCAAACAGCCUCCUGGAUGGAGACAACAGGCCUCUGACCUGGAUGUCAUUCGGUGUCAGUCAGCAUCGGAAACAGUGCACUGCGCUAAUUGAGUGGUUUGGUCCAACUCUGCUGCAAUCAGAGCCAUCUGAGGCAUUCUCUGUUAAAGUCCGUCACCUCCUUCGAGUCCUCUCCAUCUUUUCCACUCUGCUGGCACCGAAACCAGAAGCUGCACAGAGGCAUCGGUACAAGUGUCCCCGUCCUGGCAACCCCAGCCUCACUGACAAGAAUGCAUCUAUUCUCUGGCUCCACUCCACCAAGAGUGGAUGAGUAAGAGCGGCCUGCAGAAACAGCUGUUUAGGGAGUGAUCAAAAGAGGGUGAGAGGCUUCUUUGAUUACUCUCUCUUUGUUCACCUUCCUCUCAAACUUUUCUAUUCACUGAGGCCUGUGAGUGGGCAGCAAGCCAAGGGAAUUCACAAGGCUUUACUUGUAUCUAGUUGUAUUUCAAAUCCAUAUGCUGCAGCAAAGUUGCCACCAAGAUUCAUUAAAAUUAUAAUAUUUGCA
Amphiprion ocellaris (clown anemonefish) is the source of this 973-nucleotide long non-coding RNA. The record is from Ensembl. NCBI's taxonomy places the organism in Eukaryota, Metazoa, Chordata, Actinopteri, Pomacentridae.